This is an RNA transcript of Mandrillus leucophaeus (drill), 693 nucleotides long. It is a transcript of the gene named dynein light chain Tctex-type 1 pseudogene, with no coding region annotated. The record is from RefSeq and is a predicted model, not a curated record. The transcript has a single exon. NCBI's taxonomy places the organism in Eukaryota, Metazoa, Chordata, Mammalia, Primates, Cercopithecidae.
AAGAUGGAAGACUACCAGGCUGCUGAGGAGACUGCUUUUGUCGUUGAUGAGUUGAGCAGAUUGUAAAAGAGGCUAUAGAAAGCGCAAUUGGUGGUAACGCUUAUCAACACAGCAAAGUGAAUCAGUGGACCACAAAUGUAGUAGAACAAACUUCAAGCCAACUCACCAAGCUGGGAAAACCACUGAAAUACGUUGUGACCUGUGUAAUUAUGCAAAAGAACGCAGCUGGAUUACACACGGCAAGUUCCUGCUUCUGGGACAGCUCUGCUGACAGGAGCUGCACCAUGCGAUGGGAGAAUAAAACCAUGUACUGCAUCGUCAGUGCCUUUGAACUGGGUAUUGGACCUCCUAGUCCAGCCUGUGACCUUCCUCCGGUAGUUCAUCUUCUAACACCAGCUAUGAAUUCAGUGAACUCUUUUCUCGUUCUUUUUAAUUCUGUUUUGUGGCACUCUCAAAAUGUAGAGGAAAAAAACAAAUGACUGCACUGUUACAUGAACUGUGCACUAAACUCAGAUGAGUAUCCCUGUAGGUCACCUGCAGCCUGCGUUGCCACUUGUCACUCUAAAUAUUUCUUUUCAAAGGUGCUAAAAUCUGAAAUCUUCUAGUGUGAAACUUGCUAUCCUCUCUGAAAUGAUUCAAAUACACUAAUUUUCCAUACUUUAUACUUUUGUUAGAAUAAAUUAUUCAAAUCUA